UUAACUGUUUAUUUCGUUAUUCCCUCUUUCAUGUCGUGGCCAGAGCAGGGACACUGGGGGAAGGGGAAACACGCAUCAACACAUCUCUACAAUAACUGCUGCUUAUAUGGGGGACACAUCCAAGUUACCCACAUGCAAGGAGGCUGUCAAACGGAGAAAUCACUGCAGACUGUUGGUACACAGACAUCUGCUGCCCAGCUCAGAAGUGAAGUACCUUUUUGUUUUGAUGAGGUGAUGGUGAGGACAGCCACAGCUUCCAUCUGGUAGAGGACUGCUUCCGCUCAGUCUUCCAAAUAGUGAUGAGAACAAGGAUCUCCCUGGUCAUCUAUUUACUAUACCUGUC
Molecule: long non-coding RNA, 343 nt
Organism: Betta splendens (Siamese fighting fish)
Lineage: Eukaryota; Metazoa; Chordata; Actinopteri; Anabantiformes; Osphronemidae
Exons: 3
Source: RefSeq, a predicted model, not a curated record